UUCUAUCUUGAGAUCUCCCCUCUUGGAGUUCUUCUGUGAGCCCAGGACAUGGAACCAAGACAUACUCUCAUACCAAACACUCUGAAGAAAGCAAUUCCAUCACAGCUGAAACUAAAACAGCUAACAAGGACAUGAGACCCAGUGAAGUGCAGAAUACCACCUCUCUGCUACUUGUGAUGAAGAGCUAUCAUGUCUGCAACCAUAACAGGCAUUCAGUUUGAUACCUCAAGAGUUGGUUUUAAGUGGAUGGAUACCUAACUGUUUGCAACCUAGACAUGAUUCAUCCUCUUGUUCCAACUGAAGAGGAACAGUCACUUUUAGAAUACCAGUCUGCAUUCUCAAGAUGCUUAAAGCAAAACUGAUGAAUGACACUGCCUAUUCUUCUCUCUUAACUACAACAGGAAGUUGGGUACUGCUGAGGCCAUUCAGGAUCCUCUGGUAAAUAAUCCUUGUUUCAUGAAGCACUGUUACAACCAAAAUCAGAUAGAAGAUCUGUACAGAGGAGCGUCUACCCAGCAACUUUUCCAACUGAAAAAGGAAAGAAAAGGCCAGCAGCACCCUGUAAGCACAAAAGUCCACCUUGUAACAGCAUCCCCACAUCUCCCCUGAGGAGCAUGGGACUGUUCCUGGCUGCCAUCAUUGACAAGACUCUAGACAAGGAUGCUAGUCCCAAACCCCUCUCAGGACUGCAUUUAUGGGUAGUUGACUUUGGAGGUAGAGAGUCUUUGGCUUGGGGUAUUUUUUCUCCUCAAGUAUACAUCUGUCUAGAUGGCCCAAAUAAUCUUACUGGUUUCCUUACCCUCAAGAAUGCAAUGACACAAGUAAUGUGAUUUCCCACCUCUUUAAGGCGUUGAUCUGAAAAAUAUCCGGGCAGGACUUUUCCUUCUACAUUGAAACCCAAUUGUGAACACAAACAGACCCAGUAAAGGGCAUUUUGAGUUUUCUGUCAUUAUGAAUGAUGAGAGAAGAUGGGCUGAUUCUUCUUAAAAAAGCAGAAGACAGGAGAAGGAGAGAAUGGGAAAGGUUGUCACCAGAAAGAUUUUCUACGAUUAAUACUCAGUGAUGCUUUUUGUCUUCUUAGCCCUUGGCUUGCAAUGAGCAGUGAUGGGGAAGCAUGAGAAUGCUUUGUGUUGGGAGAAAGACAGCCUCCUGGCUGUCUGUGCUGGCUCCUCUUCCUGGCAUGCUACCUGCAUCUGCACAUUUUCACGGGGUGAGGCUGAUGUUGGUGCCUCUUUGCAUAGCAGUAGCUGGUUGGCACAACUUUUGCUGUCUCACGAGAAAGCAGCAAAAGUGUUAAGCACAUGUUAUGGCAGCAAUGUAUAGUAGAACCUGAAACACCAACAUGCUCCAUCUAAAUAUGAACAGUACUUGCAAAGAUUAUUCAAACAUGAUAGUAUCACUCUGGACUCUGACUUUGCUAGUCUCUAGACAUAUCUGGGCCAUACGGCAGCUCCAUCCCAAUUAUCACAUUAGUGAUACCAGAUGAAGGGCAUGUGCCAUACAUGUACACACACUGAAGGGUCAGAUUGAGCGUGUUUUGGAUCUGAUGGCCCAAGUAAACAUCUCUUGAUGUUAUCAAGUAUACUCCCAGAGCAAGGCAAUAUGGAUGCUUGAGGAAUGAGGCCAUGGAAGCACGUAACCAACAUGGUUAGUAGACAACAGACCUCCUCUUUGUCAUCAUUUUAGGUUUUUUUACUCCUUGCCAGUUUUAUUUCCAAAAAAUACAGAUCUUCAUCAAUUCUACUUCUCUCAAACUAGGUAACUGAAACGUAAAGCUGCAGUAAUAGUUGUUACUCAGAGAAACUCGGAGCAGAUUCCACAUCAUUUGAAAUCCCUUGUGCAGUUCUUUGUUCUUUACUUUGGAUGUUUUUUUCCAUUAUAGACUGCAAUUCUGUCAAUGGGGGGUUGACAGGUAAUUCAUAUUUCAGUGUGUGUCCAUAGCAACAUUUAUUUAAUUAGAACAUAAUGCACAUGCCACAGUGGCAACAAAUUCAGAGUAUCACAACUAAUUUGAAAAAUAAUAAUUACACCUUUCCACACUGUGAACAAAGAGAUCGCUAGCAAUAUCUCUAGCCUCAAAUAAUUAUUAAGUCUGCUCC
Molecule: long non-coding RNA, 2099 nt
Organism: Gallus gallus (chicken)
Lineage: Eukaryota; Metazoa; Chordata; Aves; Galliformes; Phasianidae
Source: Ensembl